Long non-coding RNA from Corapipo altera (White-ruffed manakin), 430 nucleotides. RefSeq lists it as uncharacterized. The record is from RefSeq and is a predicted model, not a curated record. The transcript has 3 exons. Lineage: Eukaryota; Metazoa; Chordata; Aves; Passeriformes; Pipridae.
GCCGCCCUCCCGCUCAUCGGCCCCGCGCGGUCCUCGCUGCCCUCCCGCACCGCUGGUCACCCACCGCCCAGCCCCGCCCGCUCUGAGGAAUGCACCGGGAUUGAACCUGCUGAAAAUAACCCAUUCUUGCAUUGCCUAGGAAAUACGAAUACCAGAUGUUUAGUUUUACAAGUGCCAGGAGAUCAAAGAUAGGAGAACUGUAUCAUUAAUCUUUCUUCAAAGACCAUGCAAAGAGAGGCACCUUUGGAAAAUUCAGAAACAAAACCUGAUUUACACACUUGGAAAGAGUUUUAGUAUCAUUUACCAGCCAUGGAGAAAAUAUGCCUAUGAUAUUAAAAGGUGAGACAAAAUGGGGCAGUAGGAUUGACUUGGCUCUGUAAGAGCAGGGAUUAGUAGCAGAAAUUCACCUGGUGCUUUUUUCUGUAACAAA